RNAcentral lists this ribosomal RNA (433 nucleotides) under uncultured bacterium. RNAcentral's name for it is "partial 16S ribosomal RNA". It matches the Rfam family "Bacterial small subunit ribosomal RNA", at positions 29 to 507 of the family's 1533-position model. The record is from RNAcentral.
AACGAACGCUGGCGGCAUGCCUAACACAUGCCAGUCGAACGAGACCUUCGGGUCUAGUGGCGCACGGGUGCGUAACGCGUGGGAACUUGCCCUUAGGUUCGGAAUAACUCCCCGAAAGGGGUGCUAAUACCGGAUAAUGUCUUCGGACCAAAGAUUUAUCGCCUUUGGAUGGGCCCGCGUUGGAUUAGCUAGUUGGUAGGGUAAAAGCCUACCAAGGCGACGAUCCAUAGCUGGUCUGAGAGGAUGAUCAGCCACACUGGGACUGAGACACGGCCCAGACUCCUACGGGAGGCAGCAGUGGGGAAUAUUGGACAAUGGGCGAAAGCCUGAUCCAGCAAUGCCGCGUGAGUGAUGAAGGCCUUAGGGUUGUAAAGCUCUUUUACCCGGGAUGAUAAUGACAGUACCGGGAGAAUAAGCUCCGGCUAACUCCGUG